CCUACGGGAGGCAGCAGUCGGGAAUAUUGCGCAAUGGAGGAAACUCUGACGCAGCGACGCCGCGUGCAGGAAGAAGGUCUUCGGAUUGUAAACUGCUUUAGACAGGGAAGAAAAAAGACAGUACCUGUAGAAUAAGCUCCGGCUAACUACGGGCCAGCAGCCGCGGUAAUACGGAGGGGGCAAGCGUUAUCCGGAUUUAUUGGGUGUAAAGGGUGCGUAGGCGGAGAAGCAAGUUAGUUGUGAAAUCCUUCGGCUUAACUGAGGAACUGCAGCUAAAACUGCUUGCCUUGAGUGCGGGAGAGGGAAGUGGAAUUCCUGGUGUAGCGGUGAAAUGCGUAGAUAUUAGGAGGAACACCGGUGGCGAAGGCGACUUUCUGGACAGUAACUGACGUUGAGGCACGAAAGUGUGGGGAGCAAACAGGAUUAGAUACCCCUGUAGUC
Molecule: ribosomal RNA, 441 nt
Filed under: uncultured bacterium
Lineage: Bacteria
Description: partial 16S ribosomal RNA
Rfam family: Bacterial small subunit ribosomal RNA
Source: RNAcentral